Molecule: non-coding RNA, 194 nt
Organism: Pseudomonas syringae pv. spinaceae
Lineage: Bacteria; Pseudomonadati; Pseudomonadota; Gammaproteobacteria; Pseudomonadales; Pseudomonadaceae
Source: Rfam
CGCUCCGUCCUAGGGGAGUAGUCUCCCACGAGCGCCAUGCUCGUCCGGCACGUAUCAACAUACUUGGUCCUCAGACCAUGGUACGUGCGACCCGGAAUCCGCUCAGACGGAUCGGUGGUUUGACAAGACCUAUGACACGAACACCUUACCCGGGGCGGGGAGGUCGUACGUGUCAUAGCCGUGUCGACCCGCCC